GAUGAACGCUGGCGGCGUGCCUAAUACAUGCAAGUCGAGCGAACGGACGAGAAGCUUGCUUCUCUGAUGUUAGCGGCGCACGGGUGAGUAACACGUGGAUAACCUACCUAUAAAACUGGGAUAACUUCGGGAAACCGGAGCUAAUCCCGGAUAAUAUUUUGAACCGCAUGGUUCAAAAGUGAAAGACGGUCUUGCUGUCACUUAUAGAUGGAUCCGCGCUGCAUUAGCUAGUUGGUAAGGUAACGGCUUACCAAGGCAACGAUGCAUAGCCGACCUGAGAGGGUGAUCGGCCCGACUGGAACUGAGACACGGUCCAGACUCCUACGGGAGGCAGCAGUAGGGAAUGGUCCGCAAUGGGCGAAAGCCUGACGGAGCAACGCCGCGUGAGGGAUGAAGGUCCUCGGAUCGUAUAACUCUGUUAUGAGGGAAGAACAGAUGUGUAAGUAACUGUGCACAUCGUGACGGUACCUAAUCAGAAAGCCACGGCUAACUACGUG
Molecule: ribosomal RNA, 497 nt
Filed under: uncultured bacterium
Lineage: Bacteria
Description: partial 16S ribosomal RNA
Rfam family: Bacterial small subunit ribosomal RNA
Source: RNAcentral